UCCCUGUGAAGAAUUCUUGCAUUUCAAUUCCAGCCAAGGCUUUGUGAAGACGAACCUACUGGUGCUGGCGGACAACGAGGAGAAUAUUUGUUCCAGAAGGAAUUUCCUGAGGGAU
This is a small nucleolar RNA of Onychomys torridus (southern grasshopper mouse), 115 nucleotides long. RefSeq annotates it as small nucleolar RNA SNORD22. The transcript has a single exon. NCBI's taxonomy places the organism in Eukaryota, Metazoa, Chordata, Mammalia, Rodentia, Cricetidae. The record is from RefSeq and is a predicted model, not a curated record.